Molecule: transfer RNA, 77 nt
Filed under: Chryseobacterium edaphi
Lineage: Bacteria; Pseudomonadati; Bacteroidota; Flavobacteriia; Flavobacteriales; Weeksellaceae
Description: tRNA-OTHER
Rfam family: tRNA
About the family: Transfer RNA (tRNA) molecules are approximately 80 nucleotides in length. Their secondary structure includes four short double-helical elements and three loops (D, anti-codon, and T loops). Further hydrogen bonds mediate the characteristic L-shaped molecular structure. tRNAs have two regions of fundamental functional importance: the anti-codon, which is responsible for specific mRNA codon recognition, and the 3' end, to which the tRNAs corresponding amino acid is attached (by aminoacyl-tRNA synthetases). tRNAs cope with the degeneracy of the genetic code in two manners: having more than one tRNA (with a specific anti-codon) for a particular amino acid; and 'wobble' base-pairing, i.e. permitting non-standard base-pairing at the 3rd anti-codon position.
Source: RNAcentral
GAGACAAUAGUAAUAAAUGUGGAAAAAUACAUUUCUGCCAGAAUGAGUUGCAAGUUCGAAUCUUGCUUGUCUCCCCA